RNAcentral lists this long non-coding RNA (238 nucleotides) under Spirodela polyrhiza (greater duckweed). RNAcentral's name for it is "long non-coding RNA (SPOL_LNC002495)". Lineage: Eukaryota; Viridiplantae; Streptophyta; Magnoliopsida; Alismatales; Araceae. The record is from RNAcentral.
CCCUGCCCUGCCGUGGAGGUUCCCUUGCUCUUCGGAUUCUCCCCUAGCGCCUUCUGCUCGCGCCGCAACGUAUCCCCGUCGACGGAGUCGCCUGUAGAGAGAGACAGAGGCAGAGUAAGAGAGAUAGAGGGAGAGAGAGAGAGAGAAGUAAGAGAGCUGUAGAGAGAGAAGAGUAAGAGAAAGAGACAGUCAGAGAGAGAGAGAGAGAUACAGAAGAGAGUGGUGAGAGAAGAGAUUG